This 252-nucleotide ribosomal RNA is filed under the name uncultured bacterium. RNAcentral describes it as "partial 16S ribosomal RNA". It matches the Rfam family "Bacterial small subunit ribosomal RNA", at positions 524 to 776 of the family's 1533-position model. The record is from RNAcentral.
UACGUAGGGGGCAAGCGUUAUCCGGAAUUACUGGGUGUAAAGGGUGCGUAGGCGGACGCUUAAGUCAGCGGUAAAAUUGCGGGGCUCAACCUCGUCGAGCCAUUGAAACUGGGUGCCUUGAGUGGGCGAGAAGUACGCGGAAUGCGUGGUGUAGCGGUGAAAUGCAUAGAUAUCACGCAGAACUCCGAUUGCGAAGGCAGCGUACCGGCGCCCAACUGACGCUGAAGCACGAAGGCGUGGGUAUCGAACAGG